GAUGAACGCUGGCGGCGUGCUUAACACAUGCAAGUCGAACGGAAAGGCUCCUGCUUGCCGGGGUCCUCGAGUGGCGAACGGGUGAGUAACACGUGGGUGAUCUGCCCUGCACUUCGGGAUAAGCCUGGGAAACUGGGUCUAAUAUCGGAUAGGACCACAUAUUGUAUGGUGUGGUGGCAAGAAUUUCGGUGUGGGAUGAGCUCGCGGCCUAUCAGCUUGUUGUUGGGGUAAUGGCCUACCAAGGCGUCGACGGGUAGCCGGUCUGUGAGGGUGUACGGCCACAUUGGGACUGAGAGACGGCCCAGACAGCUACGGGAGGCAGCAGUGGGGAAUAUUGCACGAUGAGCGCAAGCCGGAUGCAGCGACGCCGCGUGGGGGAUGACGGCCUUCGGGUUGUAAACUCCUUUCGCGAGGGACGAAGCGUUUUUGUGACGGUACCUGGAGAAGAAGCACCGGCUAACUACGUG
RNAcentral lists this ribosomal RNA (467 nucleotides) under uncultured bacterium. RNAcentral describes it as "partial 16S ribosomal RNA". It matches the Rfam family "Bacterial small subunit ribosomal RNA", at positions 28 to 507 of the family's 1533-position model. The record is from RNAcentral.